GGAUUCAGCCGUCGGAAGGAGGGAAGCAGGACCCAAAUAGCAGACGAGAUAAUCGUAAAUGGCAGAACAGGUUUAUUUCACACAAGGGAUCUGGAUGGUCCGAGCUGGAGAGUGUCCGGGGUUCAGGUUCUCUGGGAGGAGAGGAAAAUGGAGGAGGUAGGCUGUCACGGCUGGAUCCUGAGCUGAAGGGUGGAAGGGCGAGCAGGCAGGUGGCAAGGUUUACAGCUGACGAUCGGAGGAGGAGGACUGGAGGUCAGAUGACUGGAAUGCUGGAGUGUAUCAAGGC
This is a long non-coding RNA of Melanotaenia boesemani (Boeseman's rainbowfish), 286 nucleotides long. RefSeq lists it as uncharacterized. The transcript is spliced from 2 exons. The record is from RefSeq and is a predicted model, not a curated record. NCBI's taxonomy places the organism in Eukaryota, Metazoa, Chordata, Actinopteri, Atheriniformes, Melanotaeniidae.